Molecule: ribosomal RNA, 468 nt
Filed under: uncultured bacterium
Lineage: Bacteria
Description: partial 16S ribosomal RNA
Rfam family: Bacterial small subunit ribosomal RNA
Source: RNAcentral
GACGAACGCUGGCGGCGUGCUUAACACAUGCAAGUCGAACGGAAAGGCCCUGCUUUUGUGGGGUGUUCGAGUGGCGAACGGGUGAGUAACACGUGAGUAACCUGCCCUUGACUUUGGGAUAACUUCAGGAAACUGGGGCUAACACCGGAUAGGAGCUCCUGCUGCUUGGUGGGGGUUGGAAAGUUUCGGCGGUUGGGGAUGGACUUGCGGCUCAUCAGCUUGUUGGUGGGGUUGUGGCGUACCAAGGCUUUGACGGGUAGCCGGCCUGGGAGGUGGACCAGCCUCAAUGGGACUAAGAUACGACCCAGACUCCUACGGGGGACAGCAGUGGGAAGAAUUGCACAAUGAGCGCAAGGCUGAUGCAGCAACGUCGCGUGUGUGAUGACGGCCUUCGGGUAGGAAACCGCUUUCACCUGUUACGAAGCGUGAGUGACGGUAAUGGCAAAAGAAGCACCGGCUAACUACGUG